UCUCCCCAAACCUCCGAUUCCGAUCUAAAUCCCACUCUUGAUGUGCGAGUGUUUGUUCUCUCCGUACGGGAGAGUUCUCCGCCACCCUUUGGAGUGGUUUCUUUUUCAUCUAGGGCUUAAUGGCGGCAAAGGAUUUAAGCGGUUCCUCUCUCCGAUGGCCACUAUGCGAAACAGGGUGAAUGGUUGGCGGAGGAGACGAGGGAAAUCGAAGGGGGUCUCGACUGAAUGAGAGCCAAAAGGGUGCGGCGCUGCUGAUGGGCGAUGAUUGGAAGCUGGCUCUGAUUCAUGCGAAGGGAGGAGAUGAUACUGGAAGGACUUCUUAAAUUACCAGAAAAUAGGGAGUGUGCUGAUCGCAAAACUAAAGGACCGAAAUGGGCUAGUGUGAACUUAGGCAUCUCAUGCAUGCAGUGAUCAGGAAUACAUCGAAGUCUAGGAGUACGUAUAUCAAAGGAAGAAGCAAUCUAUGAUUGAUGUGACUUCUGAGUUUUUUGCUGAGGAGACUAGUUUAAGGUUAACAACACUCCAAGCAUUUGAGAAUGGGGGAAUCGUGGCUUGGGAGUAAGUGUAGCAACUUUUGGUCAGACGCAGCAGAGAGAGAGAGAGUGUGUGUGAUGGAUGCUCUGAGAUUUCAUUCCUUCUUCCUCCUUCGAACCUUCGCAGUUUUUCCUUCUGUUUUCAUCGUUGCUGUCGCUAGCGUGAGUAACCACCCUUGCUUCAAUCGUCCGAAGUUGACAAGUCCUUAAGUUUGUCUGUUGCUGCUGCGCGUCUGCAAGAUCUCUUCGUUCUUCCCGUUUCCAGCUCAUAUCUACUGUGAUUUGUUGAGCUGCUACUCUUCUAUUACCGUUGUUGGAGGCUUGGUUGAUCAGAAAUUUUAGUUUUGCUCCCCCGUUCGUCCGUGCGUCACUGUAGAUGUUGCUGUAAGUGUCUGGAAAUCUUUAUCUUCCUCUACUGGUGCGUGUAGGAAUUUUCAGAUUUGUUAACUGACGCCGAUUCCACCAUUGACUCUGAAGGGCAAACUAGCUACAGCGGGUGGAAAUUUUUGAUUGGUACUGUUACUUUUAAUGUAAAUAUAUAAUUUGUAUGUCUUUUUGAUUUUUUUUUAAAAAGAGUAGAUGCUCCACAUAGAUUGUUGUUAGGAUUUUAUUUUGAUUUAUAUAGUGUUGCUGGCUGGAAGGAGCUAAGCUCCUGAUUGAUGCUGUUUUCUAAAAUAAAAAAAUAAAAAAAUUUGUUAUAGAACUUUUGGGAGAUCGUAUUUACAGGGAAGGUUCUGUCGAAAUUUCAAAAAAAGAAAUGUUAAAGUCUUAUUAUGACAAUUAAUAGUAGCAUUAGAAUUUUUAUACAAUCUGGUUAUUUUUAAAAUGAAAGAAAUUUUUAUUUUAAGGCUUACGGGAAUGCAUGAUAUAGUACGCACCCGUGCCAGUCAUUCUUUAUUUUCGAGGUGUGACAAAUUAGAUAUUUUAAAAUAAUUGUAUCAACUAUCAACCAUAGGAAAAUAUGUCUCUUCAUAAUUAAUACUAAGUUUUUGAGAAAAUUCUCAACUUAUUAAUCAUGCUUUAUAUCUAACGAUUUCAUUUUUCCAUUUUGUUUUUGCACAAAUACACAUUUAUAUCCCAUUGGCUCUACACUAUUAUGUAUUCACACCAUUGACCCAAAAACUUCACAUUUUGAAAGUGAAUUUAACCUUGCUUUGAAUUGCAUCUUUCCAUUUUGGCCAAUCAUUUAUGUGUAUACAUUGUUCAACCAAUUUCAGUUCUAGAUUUUCAUUUUGAUUCAUUAUUUUUACAGCAACAUUAUAUGAAAAUAUGUCAUCGAUAACUAUAUUUUUUUGAUUCCAUCUUUUUCCAUAGUGACAUAACUUAUUGCAAUCUCUUCAUUAUCUUCAGGUAGUUGGACCACUUUUAGGUUCUUCUAGUUAGUUAUGUCUUCGUACUCUGUUAGAGUACCAACCUCCUUAACUAUGUCAUCUAUGCUAUCUUUAUUUUGUGCUCCUUUCUUCUUUCUAGGAUUUUUAUCUUUGAAAUCAAUUAAUCUACCACACUUCUUUCUAAUUGUCCUACUGGGAUAUCAAUUAUAAUAGGAAUAUUUUUAGUUAGAAUAUGAGACUUGGUAAUUCUUUUAAAGUUAGUAAAUGCAUGUGGCAAUUGAUUUGCAAUAUUUUGUAAAUGAAUUUUUUUUAACUUCAAGUUCACAUUGUUUUGUAUGAG
Molecule: long non-coding RNA, 2204 nt
Organism: Prosopis cineraria
Lineage: Eukaryota; Viridiplantae; Streptophyta; Magnoliopsida; Fabales; Fabaceae
Exons: 7
Source: RefSeq, a predicted model, not a curated record